CUGCUAGCCAUAACUUAUAGAGAACCGUACCGCAAACCGACACAGGUGGACAGGUAGAGAAUACUAAGGCGCUUGAGAGAACUCGGGUGAAGGAACUAGGCAAAAUGGUACCGUAACUUCGGGAGAAGGUACGCCCUUUCUGGUGAUGGGAUUUACUUUCAGAGCUGGAGAGGGCCGCAGAGACCAGGUGGCUGCGACUGUUUAUUAAAAACACAGCACUCUGCAAAUUCGUAAGAAGACGUAUAGGGUGUGACGCCUGCCCGGUGCCGGAAGGUUAAUUGAUGGGGUUAUCUUCGGAGAAGCUCUUGAUCGAAGCCCCGGUAAACGGCGGCCGUAACUAUAACGGUCCUAAGGUAGCGAAAUUCCUUGUCGGGUAAGUUCCGACCUGCACGAAUGGCGUAACGAUGGCCACACUGUCUCCACCCGAGACUCAGUGAAAUUGAAAUCGCUGUGAAGAUGCAGUGUACCCGCGGCUAGACGGAAAGACCCCGUGAACCUUUACUAUAGUUUUGCACUGGACUUUGAUGAUGACUGUGUAGGAUAGGUGGGAGGCUGUGAAGUGAGGACGCUAGUUCUCAUGGAGCCGCCCUUGAAAUACCACCCUGUUGUUAUUGAGGUUCUAACUUGGUCCAGUAAUCCUGGAUGAGGACAGUGUAUGAUGGGUAGUUUGACUGGGGCGGUCUCCUCCCAAAGAGUAACGGAGGAGCACAAAGGUACCCUCGGUACGGUCGGACAUCGUACCAAGAGUGUAAAGGCAAAAGGGUGCUUGACUGCGAGAGUGACGGCUCGAGCAGGAACGAAAGUUGGUCUUAGUGAUCCGGUGGUUCUGAAUGGAAGGGCCAUCGCUCAACGGAUAAAAGGUACUCCGGGGAUAACAGGCUGAUACCGCCCAAGAGUUCAUAUCGACGGCGGUGUUUGGCACCUCGAUGUCGGCUCAUCACAUCCUGGGGCUGAAGCAGGUCCCAAGGGUAUGGCUGUUCGCCAUUUAAAGUGGUACGCGAGCUGGGUUUAGAACGUCGUGAGACAGUUCGGUCCCUAUCUGCCGUGGGCGUAGGAAAAUUGAGAGGAGCUGCUCCUAGUACGAGAGGACCGGAGUGGACGAACCUCUGGUGCACCGGUUGUCACGCCAGUGGCAUGGCCGGGUAGCUAAGUUCGGACGGGAUAACCGCUGAAAGCAUCUAAGCGGGAAGCCUCCCUCAAGAUGAGUUUUCCCAUGAAGCCCGUUGAAGACUACGACGUUGAUAGGCAAGGUGUGGAAGCGCAGUAAUGCGUGAAGCUAACUUGUACUAAUUGGCUGAUUGUCUUGACCAUAUAAUCUGAG
This 1321-nucleotide ribosomal RNA is filed under the name Legionella pneumophila. RNAcentral describes it as "partial 23S ribosomal RNA". It matches the Rfam family "Bacterial large subunit ribosomal RNA", at positions 1618 to 2925 of the family's 2925-position model. The record is from RNAcentral. Lineage: Bacteria; Pseudomonadati; Pseudomonadota; Gammaproteobacteria; Legionellales; Legionellaceae.